RNA transcript from Mus musculus (house mouse), 2961 nucleotides. It is a transcript of the gene named predicted pseudogene 5478, with no coding region annotated. The transcript has 7 exons. The record is from RefSeq and is marked provisional. Lineage: Eukaryota; Metazoa; Chordata; Mammalia; Rodentia; Muridae.
CAUUGUGUCUCUCCAUAUCCCAUUUUCUUCUCUAGGAACCAUGUCUACCAAAUCCACCAUCAGGAUUCAAACCAGCCACUGUGGCUUCAGUGCUAGCUCAGCCAGAGUACCUGGGCUCAACCGCUCUGGCUUCAGCAGUGUGUCCGUGUGCCGCUCCCGGGGCAGGGUGGCUCCAGUGCAAUGUGUGGAGGAGCUGGCUUUGGCAGCAGGAGCCUCUAUGGUGUGGGGAGCUCCAAGAGGAUCUCCAUCGGAGGGGGCAGCUGUGGCAUUGGAGGAGGCUAUGGCAGCCGAUUUGGAGGAGCCUAUGGCAGCCGAUUUGGAGGAAGCUUCGGCAUUGGAGGUGGAGCUGGUAGUGGCUUUGGCUUCGGUGGUGGAGCUGGCUUUGGUGGUGGCUAUGGGGGAGCUGGCUUCCCGGUGUGCCCACCUGGAGGCAUCCAAGAGGUCACCAUCAACCAGAACCUCCUCACCCCUCUGAACGUGCAAAUCGACCCCACCAUCCAGUGGGUCAGGACUGAGGAGAGGGAGCAGAUCAAGACCCUCAACAACAAGUUUGCCUCCUUCAUCGACAAGGUGCAGUUCCUGGAGCAGCAGAACAAGGUCCUGGACACCAAGUGGGCUCUGCUGCAGGAGCAGGGCACCAAGAACCAGAGGCCUGACUUGGAGACUCUGUUUGAGCAGUACAUCAGCAACCUCCGCAGACGACUGGACAGUAUCACUGGAGAGAGGGGUCACCUGGAUUCUGAGCUGAGAAAGAUGCAGGACACAGCGGAGGACUACAAAGGCAAAUAUGAAGAUGAAAUCAACAAGCGCACAGCAGCAGAGAAUGAAUUUGUAACCGUGAAAAAGGAUGUAGAUGCUGCCUACAUGACCAAGGUUGAACUGCAAGCCAAGGCAGAUAGUGUUGCAGACGAGAUCAACUUCCUGAGAGUUAUUUUUGAGGCAGAACUGUCUCAGGUACAAACUGUCGUCUCAGACACAACUGUGGUCCUCUCCAUGGACAACAACCGUAGCCUGGACUUGGACAGCAUCAUUGCCGAGGUCAAGGCCAAGUAUGAGGACAUUGUUCAGAGAAGUCGUGCAGAAGCUGAGACUUUGUACCAGACUAAAGUGAGUGUUGGGAUGCAGGGCAAUAAGGAUGCCUGGGAACCACUCUAAACUCCAUGAGUCUCUGAGUUCAGUCAUGGAGACCCCUUAAAGAGAAGCUGGGGUGUUCUCACAGCAAAUGUAUUAUGUCCUUGUGUUAUGGACAGAUGUUUUAUUCUAAGAGAACAAGACCCUAGAGGCAGAUGCAAAGUUAACAUAAAUGGUGUCCAGGGCUCUUUUUUCUUAUACUCUGACCACGGAUCCUCAUGAGACACUAGAAAACGAUUUCACUUCCUGAGGGAACAAAGGAUUCUGUGGUCUACAGCUUGUCUUGCAGAAAAGCCAUCACAUCCAUGGAAGUGUGUGCCACUUAGCGGUGGAUUUGCUUCUGCAUGUAACAACUCACAUAAAUUUUCUCUCUUUGUUUGGCCUUCAGUAUGAGGAGCUACAGGUCACAGCUGGCAGACAUGGGGACAACCUGCGCAACACCAAGCAGGAGAUCGCUGAGAUCAACCGCAUUAUCAGGAGGCUGAAAGCUGAGAUUGACAGUGUUAAGAAGCAGCUUUCCAAACUGCAAGCCGAAAUUGAUGAUGCUGAGAGACGUGGGGAGAUGGCCCUGAACGAUGCCAGGGGCAAGAUGGAAGGGAUGGAGGAUGCCCUGCAGAAGGUCAAACAGGACACGGCCAGGAUGCUGAAUGAAUACCAGGAGCUCAUGAAUGCCAAGCUGGGCCUUGAUGUGGAAAUCGCUGCCUAUAGGGCAAUUCUGGAAGGAGAGGAGUACAGGUGCGUAAGUACAACCUCCAGCCCCUGAGGACAGCUCCAUGGUGCCAGCACUGAGCACAAGAAGAGGGAGCAGUGGCUGUGCUCACCAUGGUUACUUCAAGAAACUCCUUCCUGUGCUGGAGAGAUGGCUCAGUGUUUAGUUCUUCUAGAGUUACUGACUUCAAUUCUCAGAAGCCAUAUGAUGGCUCACUACCGUCUCUACUUGGAUCAAGUUCCCUCUUCAUGGGUGUCUAAAAACAGGUAGAGUGAACCCAAAUACAUAGAAUAAAUACAGGAGUAUUAAAAAAUAGAUUUCUUUCCAGAAGAUUCUGGACCUUCAACAGAUUGAGGGUUCCCAUUGGGACUGAGGUGAUGGCUGCCUAGUUCUCACUUGCUGCUUUCCUCUCUUAGGUUCAGUGGAGAAGGUGCUGGACCAGUCAACACCUCUGUGAAGCAGCAGUCCACCGUGUCCAGAGCCUAUGGCAGCACAGGUGGUGCCAGCAGCAGCUUAGGCCCGGGCAGGGGCAGCAGCCAUUCCUAUGCCAGUGUCCAUGGUAGGUAUGGCUUCAGUGCUGGAAGUGGCAGAGUCAUCAGAGGUGGCCUCAACUCCUCUGUUGGCAAUCCUUCCACCAUCAGUUCCAACCACCAGAGCUUGUUGUGGACCCCAAAUAGCCUGGCUGUAAUGCCCUGUGUACAGGGGCAUCUCCUCCCUGCAUCUCCUCCUUUGCUAUCUGCUUGGGUGUGAGGAGGCUGUGUCCACUUGCUCCUCUUGGGAUCUCACUGCUCAUGUUUUGAGUCAUCCUCUGAGCUCACAUCACGAUUCACACACAUUUUGUGCUUCAUGCUGUAAUUGGGUUUCUAGGCUCCGGCCUUCCUUCCUCUAUCUCUGGGGUUCUUGUGAAAGGUUGUCUUUGUCUUCUUCAUUCUGGAAAUCAUUGUCUUGUUCUUACUCAAGAAAUGCACACGUCCCUUUGAGUUUCCAGCGGCCUGAGAAACCCCAUCUUUCAACACCGGAAAAUUCCCUGUACAGUCACUGGUCCUGUGAUGUCUUUGCUCAUGUGAUGUUACCUCUGCUCUUUGCUCCCUUGUAAUUGCUAAAUAAAGCAGGUUUAUAAA